UACGUAGGGGGCGAGCGUUGUCCGGAAUCAUUGGGCGUAAAGAGCUCGUAGGCGGCUCAGUAAGUCGGGUGUGAAACCCCCAGGCUCAACCUGGGGACGCCACCCGAUACUGCUGUGGCUAGAGUCCAGUAGGGGAGUGUGGAAUUCCCGGUGUAGCGGUGAAAUGCGCAGAUAUCGGGAGGAACACCAGCGGCGAAGGCGGCACUCUGGGACGGUACUGACGCUGAGACGCGAAAGCGUGGGGAGCGAACAGG
This 254-nucleotide ribosomal RNA is filed under the name uncultured bacterium. RNAcentral describes it as "partial 16S ribosomal RNA". It matches the Rfam family "Bacterial small subunit ribosomal RNA", at positions 524 to 776 of the family's 1533-position model. The record is from RNAcentral.